Molecule: transfer RNA, 68 nt
Filed under: Baltalimania ylvae
Lineage: Eukaryota; Metazoa; Xenacoelomorpha; Acoela; Isodiametridae
Description: tRNA-Arg
Source: RNAcentral
AAAUAAUUAAUUUAAAAAAAAAUAUUUAGCUUCGGACUAAAAAAUUAUAUUUAGACUAUAAUAUUUCU